Molecule: ribosomal RNA, 139 nt
Filed under: Escherichia coli
Lineage: Bacteria; Pseudomonadati; Pseudomonadota; Gammaproteobacteria; Enterobacterales; Enterobacteriaceae
Description: partial 16S ribosomal RNA
Rfam family: Bacterial small subunit ribosomal RNA
Source: RNAcentral
GGAGUGGGUUGCAAAAGAAGUAGGUAGCUUAACCUUCGGGAGGGCGCUUACCACUUUGUGAUUCAUGACUGGGGUGAAGUCGUAACAAGGUAACCGUAGGGGAACCUGCGGUUGGAUCACCUCCUUAUCUUAAAGAAGC